CAGGAAGCCUGUGCUAGCGAUGAUGCGUGGGUCACCCAAGGCAAACAUUCAAGCAAAGUACCAAUGGCAAUUUUUAAAAAAUUAAACGUGUGCGCUUACUGUCCAAAGGGCUUUGAUGAGCGUUUUAUGAGCAACCUUAAGAAUUUGACAGCAACGUUCCAGCAAAUCUGAAGAAUGUGAAUUAUGUUGUACCAGUGGUCACUCCUGAACUGGAACAUUGGCCUUUGAAAUAAAUCUUAGAGUUUCCAGCUUCCACGAACAUCCACUCUAAGUGAGCAUCUAGUGAGGCUGUUGGAAAUCUCAUCAAACUUCCCCUGGUUAUAAAGACCCUUGAUUUUAAGAUAAACGUUCUGUGAAGGAAUACAUGACAGAAAGCACAGACUGUGAGAGGGAAUAAGCUCCCAGACCACUGGCAUUGAGUUUUCCCGAAGACGAGCGAGGCC
Long non-coding RNA from Neofelis nebulosa (Clouded leopard), 443 nucleotides. RefSeq lists it as uncharacterized. The transcript is spliced from 3 exons. The record is from RefSeq and is a predicted model, not a curated record. NCBI's taxonomy places the organism in Eukaryota, Metazoa, Chordata, Mammalia, Carnivora, Felidae.